RNAcentral lists this transfer RNA (90 nucleotides) under Alteromonadaceae bacterium. RNAcentral describes it as "tRNA-Ser". It matches the Rfam family "tRNA". Rfam says of the family: Transfer RNA (tRNA) molecules are approximately 80 nucleotides in length. Their secondary structure includes four short double-helical elements and three loops (D, anti-codon, and T loops). Further hydrogen bonds mediate the characteristic L-shaped molecular structure. tRNAs have two regions of fundamental functional importance: the anti-codon, which is responsible for specific mRNA codon recognition, and the 3' end, to which the tRNAs corresponding amino acid is attached (by aminoacyl-tRNA synthetases). tRNAs cope with the degeneracy of the genetic code in two manners: having more than one tRNA (with a specific anti-codon) for a particular amino acid; and 'wobble' base-pairing, i.e. permitting non-standard base-pairing at the 3rd anti-codon position. Lineage: Bacteria; Pseudomonadati; Pseudomonadota; Gammaproteobacteria; Alteromonadales; Alteromonadaceae. The record is from RNAcentral.
GGAGAGGUGGCCGAGUGGCCGAAGGCGCUCCCCUGCUAAGGGAGUAUACGGUGAAACGUAUCGAGGGUUCGAAUCCCUCCUUCUCCGCCA